CCUCCCUCCACACAGUCGGCAGCUCCGCAAAUUGGAUAAGCGCAUUAGCACUUCCACAUUAAUUAAUUUCCUGUUGCUUAUAUAAGCUGUGAGAUUUCUGUUCUUGUGAUGGUCCCUUUAGGUAAGUUUAUCUACUAACAAAUUAAAUCCCAUUACACCAAAUUACACUGGAAGUCAACCUGGAGAGCUAGUCAAAGGCUUGCCUCCACCCUGGCCCUGGAUAAUCUCCUGCCAUGAAGAAGUAGGGGAGGGAAGGCUGGUGACUGAGGUGCCCAUCACACUAAACUUCAGAGAGGGUGGACAAGAAGCCGCUCUGAGAGCCUGGCCCACAACCUCUUCUCCACGUCUCUCAGCUGUGGGGAAGCCCAGCAGACAAAUGAGCCCGAACAGCCGGCCUCCUCCCCCAACACAGGCAACACCAGGGUCACCUCUUGCUCUGAGACGUGACAUCACACAGGCGGUCUGCGUCACCUCCUUUGGCACCGUGGGGCAACAGAGAAGAGCAAAGCCCACACAGCACGGAGAAGAGCCCGCCGUUGAGGGGUCCAGGGCAACUUUGCCCACCCGGCAGGGUGUAAAGCUGUGGUUGCCAUGAGCCACUCCAUUUUGAGUCCAUGUGCCAAGGUGCAAUGACUCCACAUCUUGUUUAAACAAGUAAACAGCCACCACCUGCCCAGCACAACCGUAAGACACAGAGAUGUGCCAACUCAUCCAACUAAAUCAGGCGCAUCUGGACACACCAUAUCAGAAACAUCAGAUGAUCCACCCCCCAGGACAAGCAUACGGAGGUGCCCCCAAGUUUGGACACCGUGAAACCUAUCCCUGUCAACUGUGUACCUGUCAGGAGCCUCACCCAGGAAAACUGCCACAGCAGGGAACCCAGCAGAGCAGGGUUUCUCCCGCCUGUGACAACCACCAUGGCCCACUCCACGCUGACACCCAGCUGAUGCUCUGAGACCGAAACUGCUCACAUCCAGGUCCUCGGCCUGGACCCCUCUGGGAACCGUUCCUUGUCUGCCCACCCAGGCACUCCUCCACCCUGCACUCCUGCCUCUGCC
RNAcentral lists this long non-coding RNA (1058 nucleotides) under Marmota monax (woodchuck). Lineage: Eukaryota; Metazoa; Chordata; Mammalia; Rodentia; Sciuridae. The record is from RNAcentral.